Molecule: long non-coding RNA, 1005 nt
Organism: Galeopterus variegatus (Sunda flying lemur)
Lineage: Eukaryota; Metazoa; Chordata; Mammalia; Dermoptera; Cynocephalidae
Exons: 5
Source: RefSeq, a predicted model, not a curated record
UGCCGGGGCGCCCCCUGUGAGCUGUGUGGGGUGGGCGUCCGCGGGACCUCCUAGCGUCGCAGUGUAUGUGAGGCUAAAUAGGCCGAGAAGGCAUAAGCCACCACUGUUCCUCACAAGACGCUCCGGCAGAUCUUCCAUUUGUUCAGCACAAUAGGAUGGUUGGAAUGAGACUGGCCUGGAGAAAUUCACUAGACUUAAUCAGCAUUGGAAAGUCCUGGAAACCUGCUUAAUGCAGGAGUUGGGGGUGGAGGGACUUUUCUGAGUAGUAAUGACUCCAUACUGGCUGUGAAGAGCUACUUCCACGGAAUUCGUCUAUCUGGAAAAGAAAGAAUAGAACCACUGUGCCUAGGAAGUUGUUAGAGCAAGAAAUCAUGAGGGCCUUCUCUUUAUCAUCAAGCUUGCCAAUCUUUUUGCAUUUGUUUAUUCUUAAUACUUCAAUGCCAAGACUGAUUUUGCAACCGCAAGCGAAGAAUGGAGGUUCAGUUUAUUCAUUUCAUUCAAGAUGUAUGUAACACUUGAUCUGUGACUGCCUUCAGGAUAAAAAGUAGGAAAGAUGUAUUCCAUUGAAUUCAGGAACAUGACAGAAAGAAGAUGGAACCUCCAUACAGAAAUAGAAAGAGAACCAAUCCUCCAGGGCUCACUCAAAUGCGGAAGAAACCAGCCACACUUCAUCAUCAUCUGAAGCACACUGCUGCCUCAGCAGUUGAGCAUAGAGAACAGGCACUCUAUUCUAGUGUUCCAGUCCAGCAUCCCAGAGCUACAGAACAGUCACGAAGGGUUAUUGAGCAUGGGAGAGUGAACAAAAAGAAGAAGGUUGGCAGUUGCUCAGGACAUCAGCUCCUGAAGCUAGUCCUUCUCAAAAAACAAAUAAACAACAACAACAACAACAACAAAAAAAACCCAGAGCCCUAAAUGAGAGGCCUAUGCGAAGGAAAUCAGAACUUGGGACUCUUCUCUUAAUCCCCCCAGUGCCCUUUAUAGGAAUUAAACAGUGAUGGAACUGGG